Molecule: long non-coding RNA, 413 nt
Organism: Ornithodoros turicata
Lineage: Eukaryota; Metazoa; Arthropoda; Arachnida; Ixodida; Argasidae
Exons: 3
Source: RefSeq, a predicted model, not a curated record
UACGCAUGCGAGCAAAUUGCAGAACGGAAACACAGAGAGACUUCAUUUCAUCUCCUUCGUCGACGGAGCUCUCACGGAUAUGAAGUUCUUAUUAAUUGUCACGUUUGCAACACUGAUUGUCGUGGUUCAAUCAUGCGGAGGUGGUAAUUCACAUGCCGAACCAGAGGACGACAGCUUCGGAGGACGAAGAAGGCAAUGCGAUUCCGAUAGAUGCUCGAACAGUGCCCAGUGUGGCGAAGACUGCAUCUGCAAGCCUCCUAUUAGCAACGCCCUAUCGAAUAGGUGCCAGCUGGGGCCACUGAAGCAACGAUGAAUAUUUGCUGUGGCUCAUGGCCAGCUGCGAUUCCUACGGACAUCCUUUUGCCCACCGCUAUGAUCGCAUAAAUUGUCCAGUAAACGUCAUUGAUAGCUAC